This 467-nucleotide ribosomal RNA is filed under the name uncultured bacterium. RNAcentral describes it as "partial 16S ribosomal RNA". It matches the Rfam family "Bacterial small subunit ribosomal RNA", at positions 28 to 507 of the family's 1533-position model. The record is from RNAcentral.
GACGAACGCUGGCGGCGUGCUUAACACAUGCAAGUCGAACGGAAAGGCCCUGCUUUUGUGGGGUGCUCGAGUGGCGAACGGGUGAGUAACACGUGAGUAACCUGCCCUUGACUUUGGGAUAACUUCAGGAAACUGGGGCUAAUACCGGAUAGGAGCUCCUGCUGCAUGGUGGGGGUUGGAAAGUUUCGGCGGUUGGGGAUGGACUCGCGGCUUAUCAGCUUGUUGGUGGGGUAGUGGCUUACCAAGGCUUUGACGGGUAGCCGGCCUGAGAGGUGACCGGGCACAUUGGGACUGAGAUACGGCCCAGACUCCUACGGGAGGCAGCAGUGGGGAAUAUUGCACAAUGGGCGGAAGCCUGAUGCAGCAACGCCGCGUGCGGGAUGACGGCCUUCGGGUUGUAAACCGCUUUCGCCUGUGACGAAGCGUGAGUGACGGUAAUGGGUAAAGAAGCACCGGCUAACUACGUG